Molecule: ribosomal RNA, 454 nt
Filed under: uncultured bacterium
Lineage: Bacteria
Description: partial 16S ribosomal RNA
Rfam family: Bacterial small subunit ribosomal RNA
Source: RNAcentral
GAUGAACGCUGACAGAAUGCUUAACACAUGCAAGUCUACUUGAACUUCGGUUUGGGUGGCGGACGGGUGAGUAACGCGUAAAGAACUUGCCUCACAGUUAGGGACAACAUUUGGAAACGAAUGCUAAUACCUGAUAUUAUGAUUUUAGGGCAUCCUAGGAUUAUGAAAGCUAUAUGUGCUGUGAGAGAGCUUUGCGUCCCAUUAGCUAGUUGGAGAGGUAACGGCUCACCAAGGCGAUGAUGGGUAGCCGGCCUGAGAGGGUGAACGGCCACAAGGGGACGGAGACACGGCCCUUACUCCUACGGGAGGCAGCAGUGGGGAAUAUGGGACAAUGGACCAAAAGUCUGAUCCAGCAAUUCUGUGUGCACGAUGACGUUUUUCGGAAUGUAAAGUGCUUUCAGUUGGGAAGAAAAAAAUGACGGUACCAACAGAAGAAGUGACGGCUAAAUACGUG